AGUACAUGAUUCCACGCUGCCAAGAAAAGCGUCUAGAGAGAGAAGUAGUGCCCGUACCGCAAACCGACACAGGUAGGUGAGGAGAGAAUCCUAAGGCCGGCGGAAGAAUUACAGUUAAGGAACUCGGCAAAUUGACCCCGUAAGUUCGCGAGAAGGGGUGCCUACGAGAGUAGGCCGCAGAGAAUAGGCCCAAGCAACUGUUUAGCAAAAACACAGGUCUCUGCUAAAGCGUAAGCUGAUGUAUAGGGGCUGACGCCUGCCCGGUGCUGGAAGGUUAAGGGGAACACUUAGCGCAAGCGAAGGUGUGAACUUAAGCCCCAGUAAACGGCGGCCGUAACUAUAACGGUCCUAAGGUAGCGAAAUUCCUUGUCAGGUAAGUUCUGACCCGCACGAAUGGCGUAAUGACUUGGGCACUGUCUCAACUGUAAAUCCGGCGAAGUUGUAGUGCGAGUGAAGAUGCUCGCUACCCGCGAUUGGACGGAAAGACCCCGUAGAGCUUUACUGUAGCUUAGCAUUGAGUUUUGGUAUUGUCUGUACAGGAUAGGUGGGAGACUAGGAAACCAGGGCGUCAGCCUUGGUGGAGUCAACCUUGGGAUACCACCCUGACAGUACUGAAAUUCUAACUGGCGGCCAUGAAUCUGGUCACAGGACAUUGUUAGGUGGGCAGUUUGACUGGGGCGGUCGCCUCCUAAAAAGUAACGGAGGCGCCCAAAGGUUCCCUCAGAACGGUCGGAAAUCGUUCGAAGAGUGCAAAGGCAGAAGGGAGCCUGACUGCGACACCCACAAGUGGAGCAGGGACGAAAGUCGGGCUUAGUGAUCCGGUGGUACCUCGUGGGAGGGCCAUCGCUCAACGGAUAAAAGCUACCUCGGGGAUAACAGGCUGAUCUCCCCCAAGAGUCCACAUCGACGGGGAGGUUUGGCACCUCGAUGUCGGCUCGUCGCAUCCUGGGGCUGAAGUAGGUCCCAAGGGUUGGGCUGUUCGCCCAUUAAAGCGGCACGCGAGCUGGGUUCAGAACGUCGUGAGACAGUUCGGUCCCUAUCCGUCGCGGGCGUAGGAAAUUUGAGAGGAGCUGUCCUUAGUACGAGAGGACCGGGAUGGACUGACCUCUGGUGUACCAGUUGUUCCGCCAGGAGCACAGCUGGGUAGCUAAGUCGGGAAUGGAUAAACGCUGAAAGCAUCUAAGCGUGAAGCCAACCUCAAGAUGAGAUUUCCCAUAGCGUAAGCUAGUAAGAUCCCUUGAAGAACACAAGGUUGAUAGGUCGGGGGUGUAAGCAUGGUAACAUGUUCAGCUGACCGAUACUAAUAGAUCGAGGGCUUGACCAAAU
Molecule: ribosomal RNA, 1326 nt
Filed under: Salmonella enterica subsp. enterica
Lineage: Bacteria; Pseudomonadati; Pseudomonadota; Gammaproteobacteria; Enterobacterales; Enterobacteriaceae
Description: partial 23S ribosomal RNA
Rfam family: Bacterial large subunit ribosomal RNA
Source: RNAcentral